UACAGAGGUCUCAAGCGUUGUUCGGAUUCAUUGGGCGUAAAGGGUGCGUAGGUGGCGCUGUAAGUCGGGUGUGAAAUUUCGGAGCUUAACUCCGAAACUGCAUUCGAUACUGCGGUGCUUGAGGACUGGAGAGGAGACUGGAAUUCAUGGUGUAGCAGUGAAAUGCGUAGAGAUCAUGAGGAAGACCAGUGGCGAAGGCGGGUCUCUGGGCCGAUACUGACGCUGAGGAGCGAAAGCGUGGGGAGCGAACAGG
RNAcentral lists this ribosomal RNA (253 nucleotides) under uncultured bacterium. Its description in RNAcentral is "partial 16S ribosomal RNA". It matches the Rfam family "Bacterial small subunit ribosomal RNA", at positions 524 to 776 of the family's 1533-position model. The record is from RNAcentral.